Molecule: long non-coding RNA, 615 nt
Filed under: Elaeis guineensis (African oil palm)
Lineage: Eukaryota; Viridiplantae; Streptophyta; Magnoliopsida; Arecales; Arecaceae
Description: long non-coding RNA (EGUI_LNC014939)
Source: RNAcentral
GAAUUUAGUCAUACUUGAUCCCUUAGAAAUAUUGGUAACUUAUUGAGCCUGCCAAGCUCACUCUUUUUUUCUGUUCAGAUCUAAAAAAUGUAAGGUGAUUAGGAUUGGGCAAUGAAGAGCUUAGGAUCUUAACGAGCUAUUUUUAUUUGAAUCAAUAAAAUUGAAAGUUUGUUUUCAAUACCACUGCCUAUGUAUGGAUUAAUUUGAUAGAUUGAAUGUAAAGACAAGCCCUGCAUAUCUUGAGGGAUUAAACUCGAGGGAUGUGCAGACAUAUGUCACGAUUGGCUUGGGCCUUGGGCUGGGGCAUGACAAAAGAUAUUACGUGAAUGAAACAAAAAGCAGUAUAUCACAUUAGAACUCUGUAGUUGAGUAUGCUUGGAUUAGACUAGAAAUAAAAUGGAUGAUUUUUAAACAUCCAAGAGCCAAUAUUUCAUAACCUUGCUCCCUGUAGACAUUACAUCAUCUCUUUGCAUUAUAACUUCUCCUAUGUGUAACCAUGAUAAUUUGCGUCCCAUGGUUUUUCUUCUAUGAUCAAGAAAGAAGACCACAUAACUAAAAGAGAUUUGCGCUAAAGGUUAUCUUCAUUUCGUGGCCUUUACGCGAACUGCACUCAUG